This is a long non-coding RNA of Betta splendens (Siamese fighting fish), 2972 nucleotides long. RefSeq lists it as uncharacterized. Lineage: Eukaryota; Metazoa; Chordata; Actinopteri; Anabantiformes; Osphronemidae. The transcript is spliced from 2 exons. The record is from RefSeq and is a predicted model, not a curated record.
ACAGGAAUUAGCCGAGAGGACGGUCUCCCUCCACGGAGACCUCCCCCGCCCCCCAAACGCAGCUCGCUGUUUGUUGCUCUUGAGCCGUUGAUGAGUGCGGAUGCUGUAGUCGUGGCCACCCAGAUCUUUUAAACAAGUAUUUGUCUUGUUUUGAGCCGUUCAUCGCCUCCAAUAGAUUCGGCCAUGUUUGCGGAGAUGAGUUGGCUGUCAGAGCUCUCUCAUGUUCAUGCUGUGAAGCGUACACACCUGCAAUGAGAAGACGGUGAAAGGAAUGUGUCUAUAAGUAGAUGUGGAGAAAACCUGUUUUCCUCAUGUUGGCCGUGGAAGUCAGCACAUGGAUCAAUGCAACUUUGAGCUCAGCCUCAGACUGUUAUUAUUAACAAUGCAGCGAAAGGAGCUCCGCUGAUAGACUUCGACUGAGUCGCUUAUCUGUAAAAUGCAGCUCUUUUACCCAACAGUGACGUGCUCAUUAACAAAAUGUGCCGCAAUCCCAAACAUUCCCAUGACUAAUCCCGGCUCUCUCCCAUCUGGUUUCUAGAUCACGGCCGAAUGGGGAGUGUCACGGUUGGUACAUCAGACCUGUCAGCGGAGGGACACGCGGGCUGCCCCUCCCCCACGCCGCCGCCGUGGUGGUGGUGGUGGUACACCUGACACAACUGAUGGGGUCACGUCGACCAGUAAAGCAGCCCACCGACAGGAGGAGGCACAGACGCUGCCGCGCCGUGACGUGCAGAUGCGGAGGCUUUAUCGAAACCGGCUUGUUGUUUUUUCGCACCUCAGCCUCCGUCGAGUGAUGGAGCUCGGCUUGUGUGAGGCCGCUUGAUGGAAAAAGUGAGAGCGAAGCGACGUGUCCAAGGAUCUGGAUGGCGAUUACUCACAAAGCUGCUCCGAACGCUGCCAAACACUUCAGGUUGUUUUUUUUUUUUUUUCUCCCUGUGACUCAUUUGGUAACAGAGCUUCCUCCUUCCCAGCGGUGGUCAUGGGAAGAGGCUCCAAGCAGGCUGUUAGUCAGAAGAAAAGCACUGAGCUCUGGGCAACAAUCGACACCUUGUAACAGGCACCGCCAAGCUUUUAUUUUCGAGCUAAAACUGGAAGCCCACAAACCAGUGACAACCUCCUGUGGUUCAGAUAUGGAUCUGCAGAGGAGAGGAGCCUGACAGCAACUGUUCUAACAGUCUGCUAAUGUUAUAGUGAAAGGAAUCGGUGCACAAGAAAUAAAAUCGCUAAGUCUGAAAUCCGUUUUUUUCAGUCAGAAUCCUCCUACAGGUGUCGUCGACUUCCUGUUUUCAAGAAGGUUAAGCUGCUGUGGUCUCAGCAUGUGAGUUGUGUUCACUUAUGCAGUUUAUUUUACGCCAACUAACUAAAACCCAAGUGAUAAAUGAUGUGCCGCCGCAGAAACAGUAGACCCCUGUUCUUUUUUUUCGGACUCCCCUGAUUGCUGAAGUUUUUCUGCUUUCACAUCAUCUAUUACCAAAUUAUUAGGGUGCUUUGGAGGCUGGAGGACACCAGCACUACCUUUACAGCAAGCAUAAAUCACCGGGCUAAUAAAUUGAACGCUAAAUGACUUCUUGCCCUCCACAUAUAUCAUGGAGCCAAACCAAAUGAAGCCUUAUAUACCCCAGAGAACUGAGGAAUGCUUCUGUUCAUAACAGUGAUUUGUGGAUGGAUCCCUUGCUGCUGCUUUCGGGAGUCACGGCAUGAGACGCACUCUCCUCCAGCAUCGUCGGGUGAAAAAGGACAGUUUAGGAAAUUCUGAAAAUCUGUAAGAAAUGUAAACGUUUUGAUGGUGAUGUGCGGUCGGACGUGCUCUUUAUGUUUAAUUAAGAUGUUUCCUUUGUGUUCAGAAAUCCCACAGUUCAUCUUCCUUCAUCAGACAAAGGACGUGUUUGAUGUUGUUAUUUAUUUAUGUAUGGAACACUUUAAUAAGGCAUCAGUGUGAGCAGCUGUGGAUGAGCAGAAGCCAAACCAACACCAGGACACUGGCGCCAUCCACUGGCUCCAACGCACCAGGCUCCUGCAGGCGGAGUGAGACUGCUUUAUUACGUGCCACACAUACAGGAUCAUGUUAAUGGUGAAGGGGUAUAAUAUAAACGCCACAUUUUAUCCUCCAUGCUGCCAGCGUCUCCUCGUUCCCACCUGAGGAAGCAGCUGAGAUGAGCUUCGCCUGUGACACGUGUAUUUUCCUCACACCCUCAAAUAUUCACUGACAUGGACGCAGAGCUGCUGCCAAACCUGCAGCGGCGGCGGCGCCUGAAGGUGUUAAUGUGCCGACGUGUCAGGACGAACAGCAGCGCCUCGUGUUCGUUGGCAGGGAGACGCGCCGCUCCUCUCCGUUUUGACCAGGUUUCAACCGAGACGACUCUGUGCGGCGUUCGCGAAGGCAGAGAUGCGUCACUUGGCCCUCGGACGCCUGAAAGCCAUGAGUCACACUUCAGCCUACGCGCUGAGUGAAUGGAUGAGACGAUGACGGCGGCAGAGGUCAAAGCAGCGUUAGAAUUAUUCACAAUGGACGCACUGAGGGUAAAGAAGAGAUGAAUUUCACCACCAGCAUCAAAACAAGUGGUUGAAGCAAGCAACAACCUUCUUACACACAAGCUGAGGACAGUUAUGCAACCAAACAUUCCUCCUUUUGAUGUGACUGCCCACAUUUUCACUGAAAAGCAGGGGGCGACAUAAUUACUUUACUUCUUCACGCGCUUCAGUGCGUCCUUAAAUGCAUCUACAACGCACCUCUGCAAACAUGCUCCGUCCCAUUAUGUGCAUCUGUGUUUUAUUAACAGUAAUAUUUCCUGUGACGCUCUCACACUUAUGCAUUUUGUUAAUGUCCAAAUCAAUUUAUUAUAAAAGCCCCAAUUAACUGUCUGUAAUCAACAACAGUCAGAAGGUGGAAUAUUUUCACAUUUAGAAACAAAACACUGCUUUUUUAUAUCUGGCACAGUCUGUCAGCUGCUAUAAACAGCUCCCCAAACAAA